GACGAACGCUGGCGGCGUGCUUAACACAUGCAAGUCGAACGGUGACGCGCCUUCCUUUUUGGUGGGUGUGGAUGAGUGGCGAACGGGUGAGUAACACGUUAGUAACCUGCCCCCUUCUUCUGGAUAACCGCAUGAAAGUUUGGCUAAUACGGGAUAUUCUGGGUCUGUCGCAUGAUGGGUCUGGGAAAGAUAUUGUUUCGGUGGGGGAUGGGCUCGCGGCCUAUCAGCUUGUUGGUGUGGUGAUGGCCUACCAAGGCGGUGACGGGUAGCCGGCCUGAGAGGGUGGACGAUAACACUGGGACUGAGAGACGGCGCAGACUCCUACGAGAGGCAGCAGUGAGGAAUAUUGCACGAUGGGCGCAAGCCUGAUGCAGCGACGCCGCGUGGGAGAUGGAGGCCUUCGGGUUGUGAACCUCUUUCGCCAGUGAAGCAGGCCUGCCUCGUUUGUGGGUGGGUUGACGGUAGCUAGAUAAGAAGCGCCGGCUAACUACGUG
Molecule: ribosomal RNA, 494 nt
Filed under: uncultured bacterium
Lineage: Bacteria
Description: partial 16S ribosomal RNA
Rfam family: Bacterial small subunit ribosomal RNA
Source: RNAcentral